GGCUACCAUGCAGUCGAGGGGCAGCAUGGUCUUAGCUUGCUAAGGCCGAUGGCGACCGGCGCACGGGUGAGUAACACGUAUCCAACCUGCCGUCUACUCUUGGACAGCCUUCUGAAAGGAAGAUUAAUACAAGAUGGCAUCAUGAGUCCACAUGUUCACAUGAUUAAAGGUAUUCCGGUAGACGAUGGGGAUGCGUUCCAUUAGAUAGUAGGCGGGGUAACGGCCCACCUAGUCUUCGAUGGAUAGGGGUUCUGAGAGGAAGGUCCCCCACAUUGGAACUGAGACACGGUCCAAACUCCUACGGGAGGCAGCAGUGAGGAAUAUUGGUCAAUGGGCGAGAGCCUGAACCAGCCAAGUAGCGUGAAGGAUGACUGCCCUAUGGGUUGUAAACUUCUUUUAUAAAGGAAUAAAGUCGGGUAUGCAUACCCGUUUGCAUGUACUUUAUGAAUAAGGAUCGGCUAACUCCGUGCCAGCAGCCGCGGUAAUACGGAGGAUCCGAGCGUUAUCCGGAUUUAUUGGGUUUAAAAGGGAGCGUAGAUGGAUGUUUUAAGUCAGUUGUGAAAGUUUGCGGCUCAACCCGUAAAAUUGCAGUUGAUACUGGAUAUCUUGAGUGCAGUUGAGGCAGGCGGAAUUCGUGGUGUAGCGGUGAAAUGCUUAGAUAUCACGAAGAACUCCGAUUGCGAAGGCAGCCUGCUAAGCUGCAACUGACAUUGAGGCUCGAAAGUGUGGGUAUCAAACAGGAUUAGAUACCCUGGUAGUCCACACGGUAAACGAUGAAUACUCGCUGUUUGCGAUAUACAGCAAGCGGCCAAGCGAAAGCGUUAAGUAUUCCACCUGGGGAGUACCCCGGCAACGGUGAAACUCAAAGGAAUUGACGGGGGCCCGCACAAGCGGAAGAACAUGUGGUUUAAUUCGAUGAUACGCGAGGAACCUUACCCGGGCUUAAAUUGCAGAUGAAUUACGGUGAAAGCCGUAAGCCGCAAGGCAUCUGUGAAGGUGCUGCAUGGUUGUNGUCAGCUCGUGCCGUGAGGUGUCGGCUUAAGUGCCAUAACGAGCGCAACCCUUGUUGUCAGUUACUAACAGGUUCCGCUGAGGACUNUGACAAGACUGCCAUNGUAAGAUGUGAGGAAGGUGGGGAUGACGUCAAAUCAGCACGGCCCUUACGUCCGGGGCUACACACGUGUUACAAUGGGGGGGUACAGAGGGCCGCUACCACGCGAGUGGAUGCCAAUCCCAAAAACCUCUCUCAGUUCGGACUGGAGUCUGCAACCCGACUCCACGAAGCUGGAUUCGCUAGUAAUCGCGCAUCAGCCACGGCGCGGUGAAUACGUUCCCGGGCCUUGUACACACCGCCCGUCAAGCCAUGGGAGCCGGGGGUACCCUGAAGUGCGUAACCCGCGAGGGAGCGCCCUAGNAAA
This 1418-nucleotide ribosomal RNA is filed under the name bacterium NLAE-zl-P301. RNAcentral describes it as "bacterial SSU rRNA". It matches the Rfam family "Bacterial small subunit ribosomal RNA". The record is from RNAcentral.